RNA transcript from Fukomys damarensis (Damara mole-rat), 4346 nucleotides. It is a transcript of the gene named serine and arginine rich splicing factor 1, with no coding region annotated. NCBI's taxonomy places the organism in Eukaryota, Metazoa, Chordata, Mammalia, Rodentia, Bathyergidae. The transcript has 7 exons. The record is from RefSeq and is a predicted model, not a curated record.
UUCCUCCCUCCCCCCUGUAUCCGUGCGCCAAGCAGAUAAAGGCGCCAUUUUGGAGAGGCCACGGGAGACGUGGUGCCGCUGCGGGUUCGCUCUGCUGUGCGCUAGGCUUGGUGGGAAGGCCCGUUCUCGAGUCCGCGCUUUUUCGUCGCCGCCAUGUCGGGAGGUGGUGUGAUUCGUGGCCCGGCAGGGAACAACGAUUGCCGCAUCUACGUGGGAAACUUACCUCCAGAUAUCCGAACCAAGGACAUUGAGGACGUGUUUUAUAAAUACGGCGCUAUCCGCGACAUCGAUCUCAAGAAUCGCCGCGGGGGACCGCCCUUCGCCUUCGUAGAGUUCGAGGACCCGCGAGACGCGGAAGACGCGGUGUACGGUCGCGACGGCUACGAUUACGAUGGAUACCGUCUGCGGGUGGAGUUUCCUCGAAGCGGCCGUGGUACUGGCCGAGGCGGCGGCGGGGGUGGAGGUGGUGGAGCGCCCAGAGGCCGCUAUGGCCCCCCAUCCAGGCGGUCUGAAAACAGAGUGGUUGUCUCUGGACUUCCUCCAAGUGGAAGCUGGCAGGAUUUAAAGGAUCACAUGCGUGAAGCAGGUGAUGUAUGUUAUGCUGAUGUUUACCGAGAUGGCACUGGUGUCGUGGAGUUUGUACGGAAAGAAGAUAUGACCUAUGCGGUUCGAAAACUGGAUAACACUAAGUUUAGAUCUCAUGAGGGAGAAACUGCCUACAUCCGGGUUAAAGUUGAUGGGCCCAGAAGUCCAAGUUAUGGAAGAUCUCGAUCCCGAAGCCGUAGUCGUAGCAGAAGCCGUAGCAGAAGCAACAGCAGGAGUCGCAGUUACUCCCCAAGGAGAAGCAGAGGAUCACCACGCUAUUCUCCCCGUCAUAGCAGAUCUCGCUCUCGUACAUAAGAUGAUUGGUGACACUUUUUGUAGAACCCAUGUUGUAUACAGUUUUCCUUUAUUCAGUACAAUCUUUUCAUUUUUUAAUUCAAACUGUUUUGUUCAGAAUGGGCUAAAGUGUUGAAUUGCAUUCUUGUGUAAUAUCCCCUUGCUCCUAACAUCUACAUUCCCCUCAUGUCUUUGAUAAAUUGUAUUUUAAAUGAUGUCAUAGACAGGAUGUUUCAAUUUAGUUAACUUUCCAUGCUCUUCAGACUGUGAUAUUGUGUAAAUGUCUAUUCUGCUCUGGUUUGUGUGAACUGGGAUGUUGGGGGUGUUUGUGGUUAUCUUAUCUGGGGAAGUUCUUAUGUUUAUCUUGCUUUUCAUGUGUCUUUCUGUAGACAUAUCUGAAGAGAUGGAUUAAGAAUGCUUUGGAUUAAGGAUUGUGGAGCACAUUUCAAUCAUUUUAGGAUUGUCAAAAGGAGGAUUGAGGAGGAUCAGAUCAAUAAUGGAGGCAAUGGUUUGGAUUGGAGAGGGCUCACUGGAUCCCAAUCCUUGGAGCUGGAUCAUUGGAUUCAAAUCAUAAUGUGGAUAGGAUAGGGAGGAUGAAUUACAAGGAUUCAUGGAGCGGGAUCAGAUUACCAGGAACAUAGGAGUGGAUUCCUGCCCCAACCAAACCGCACUCGUGUGGAUUUUUUUAUUCAACUUAAUUGGCUAUUCCAAAGAUUUUUUUCCUAUUUUUGACGAUUGGAGCCCUUAAGAUGCACGAUGGAAUUGUGUUUUGCAUUUUUUGGUAAAAGGAGCAAAGCGAGGACCUGGAGAUAAUACGCUGGAGCAAUCUCCUUGGAAGGAUUCAGCACGAGUAGAUGGUAAACAUUUAAAGGGGUAAGGGGGGGUUUGUUUAAAAUAGUAAUCAGUAAGUCACUUCUAAAUUUAAAGAAAAAAUUUGGAGUUGAAGAAUGAGUAGGUUUCCAAUUGGCUAUUGCCGUUUUUCUUUGAAAAAAUAAACAUUUUUUAAAAAACAAUGCAUGGUUGUCCUUUUUCCUCUUCAUGUAAGAUUUUAACUUGUAACUAUCAAUUGAAGCAACAUAAGAUUCUGACUCUUGUGUUUAUGUAUUAAAAGUUUCUUGAAAGGCAGUCUAAUAAAUCGUAUUAGCCAUCUCUUAUGUUGUGAAAAUCAUAAGGGGAGGAUAAAAAGAAUAAGGCAGUUGUAUAUGUAAUGGCAAUUGAGGGGUGAUCUAGUUUGAAAGCUCUUUGCUAAAAAGUGAUUAAAAAUUUGUUGAUGCUGUUUGUUUUGGUGAUCAUUUAUAGACUAUGUAGGCUUGUACAAAAUUAGUUGAUGCAAAUUAAUAUUGGCUUGGAAGUGGCCUUCAAGAGUCUGAUUUCUCAAAAAUUGCUAAGUAUUAAAUGUUAGCUUUAAGCAUAGAUGUAUUAGAACUCAGCACAAGUGACAUUUCCUUUUUGAAAUGUAAACAGUAUGGUAGAAGAUUAACUGCUUAUUUGGGUUAAUCUUUGCCUUGUAAACUCUUGCUAACCCUAAAAUUAUGUUGUCCCCAAACUUAAGUAUUCUGUAUCACAGCUGUGAUUAUAUCUUGUCUACUAGUUUUUAUAUAUUUGCUAAGAGCCCCUGGAUGCUAAUUUUUUUUGUUUGUUUGGGAUGGGAAAGAGGUGAUUUAUUUUAAAUUUUUAUUUUCUUAUAGCUAGCGAGAACAGCCAACUGCUCUUUUGUACUCAAUAGGAGUUGCUACAUCUUUAACUAUUCCCUUGGGUGCAGACUGAAUUUGAUGAUGAUUCUGCUGCCAAUCUAAAACGUAGAGGAAACAAGACAUCUUGAUAGUGGAAGGAAGGAUUUCCGUGACAGUUGUAAGAUUACCUAACCAUUACAUUUUAAGAAACCAUAUGGAGCAGUGAUGGUGACUCUUAAGUUUGGCACACUGCGAAUGAUAGUCUAUCCUGUAGAGGACAUCAAGUUCAAAACCAGGAGUUUUGUUUUAGGUAGAUAAAAUGGCACAGGUUAAAGAUAAAUAUUUCUAGUUAUUUGUAGGGAUUCAAAGUAGGACCAAGCAAGAAUUGCUUUUAAACAGUUUUGAACAAUUACACAUGACAUACUUGGAGUUUUUCUUGUGUAAAAUACAUUUUAAAUGAAAUAUUAGAAGUUACCAAAUAAGAUAAUUUUGAAAGGUCAAAAUGAAGUAGACUUAAGAAACCUGGCUUUUUGCAAAAUAUUUUGGAAACAGGACCAAAAUGAGGAUAAUGUUCGCUUACAGUUGUCUAUUUAAGCUAUGUUAAAUGAGAUUCUACUAAAAGGCUUAGUAGUUCCAACCCCAGAUUGAAAUAAGUAUUCUUUGUCUACUAUCUAGGCUUUAGUUUGAAGAUCAGAGAGGACUUACUACAUAGUUAUGAGAGGUAGAGGAAUGUAGGUUUUAUAGUUAUGGUGACCAGGCUGCAAUAAAGGAUAGACUUAUAUUUAGUCAUAGGAAAUGGACCUCUAUGCAUUAGCAGUUAGCAGAAGGAAAUUAUACCCUUACUGAACUGCAAAAACUGCCUUGAGUUUUUCCCCUGUGUCUCCUUUAAAUAUAGGGAACCUAAAAGUUUAUUUUCUAACCAAGAAAAAGCACUUAGGUCUUUCUAAGAAGCCUUAAUUUUUCAUAACAUCAGAUUGAAUAACCCACUUUGCUGUGCAGCCUACAUCCCACUGGAGAAAAAAAGAUGAGGAAACAGGCCCUGAAAAGUGAGAGAUCAUUCAACUUGGGGUGGAGAAGGAGAAUCUGAACAGGGCUGACCAGUUCCCUGGUGUGUUACCUGCUUCUGCUUCUGCUACCGAUCCAAACUGCAGAACUUCUCAUUCAGCUCUAAAAGGACCCAGACCAACGUUUUCCAGACCCUUCAUUCUGGUGACUGACUGAUGGAAGGAAAGAAGAGGAGGGGGGAUAUAGUUGUAUACUGGAUGAAAAAGAAACACUUAAAUUACUGUACCUCUUUAACUUAGUAGUCUGCAGCCAUCUUGAUUGUAUUGUUUAUGUAUUUGGGGAAGUUGGAGAUGACUGGCCUUAGACAUGACUUGAGGGGAAUAAAUGGAGGGGAUAAGAAUCAGUUGAUUUUGAAAGAUGUUGAUGUUUUGAAAUAAUGUACCCAUCUGAGGAAUUCUAAGUUUAUAAAAGUACCAUUGAUGUAGCCUUUCCCCUCACUUCCCCACUGCAGGUUUCUCUGACGGGAGAUAUUUCUUUAAUAAUAGCAUGUCUCUGAUAUUCCCAGUAACAGCUGCCACAGCUACUAUCAAGGAAAGGAUAGAAAACGUUCAGGACAUCAUAUAGACUCCUCAUCUACAAAGUUCAGUAGCUGUGCCUCCUUCCUACACAGAAGACUUGGAACUGCAAACAGGCUGGGGUCAUUCAGUGACAUCUCUCGAUGCUGCACAAACAAGUUUGAUUUUUGUUUUGUGGGGUGCAGAAGAAAGCAGACUGUACUAAAACUAAAAU